Molecule: small nuclear RNA, 88 nt
Organism: Cavia aperea (Brazilian guinea pig)
Lineage: Eukaryota; Metazoa; Chordata; Mammalia; Rodentia; Caviidae
Source: Ensembl
UCGCUUAGGCAGCGCACAUACUAAAAUGGAAACGAUACAGAGAAGACUGUACAAGGAUGACACGCAAAUAAAUUCAUUCCAUAUUUUA